UACAGAGGUCCCAAGCGUUGUUCGGAUUUAUUGGGCGUAAAGGGUGCGUAGGCGGCGGAGUAAGUUGGGUGUGAAAUCCCGGGGCUCAACCUCGGAAUUGCAUUCAAUACUGCUUCGCUCGAGUACUGGAGAGGAGACUGGAAUUUACGGUGUAGCAGUGAAAUGCGUAGAUAUCGUAAGGAAGGCCGGUGGCGAAAGCGAGUCUCUGGACAGUUACUGACGCUGAUGCACGAAGGCCAGGGGAGCAAACGGG
This 253-nucleotide ribosomal RNA is filed under the name Verrucomicrobiota bacterium. RNAcentral describes it as "partial 16S ribosomal RNA". It matches the Rfam family "Bacterial small subunit ribosomal RNA", at positions 524 to 776 of the family's 1533-position model. The record is from RNAcentral. RNAcentral also lists the same sequence under 1 other name. Lineage: Bacteria; Pseudomonadati; Verrucomicrobiota.